GAUGAACGCUGGCGGCGUGCCUAACACAUGCAAGUCGAGCGAUUUACUUCGGUAAAGAGCGGCGGACGGGUGAGUAACGCGUGGGUAACCUGCCCUGUACCCACGGAUAACAUACCGAACGGUAUGCUAAUACGGGAUAAUAUGCUUUUAUCGCAUGGUAGAAGCAUCAAAGCUUUUGCGGUACAGGAUGGACCCGCGUCUGAUUAGCUAGUUGGUAAGGUAACGGCUUACCAAGGCGACGAUCAGUAGCCGACCUGAGAGGGUGAUCGGCCACAUUGGAACUGAGACACGGUCCAAACUCCUACGGGAGGCAGCAGUGGGGAAUAUUGCACAAUGGGCGAAAGCCUGAUGCAGCAACGCCGCGUGAGCGAUGAAGGCCUUCGGGUCGUAAAGCUCUGUCCUCAAGGAAGAUAAUGACGGUACUUGAGGAGGAAGCCCCGGCUAACUACGUGCCAGCCGCCGCCGUAA
RNAcentral lists this ribosomal RNA (468 nucleotides) under uncultured bacterium. RNAcentral's name for it is "partial 16S ribosomal RNA". It matches the Rfam family "Bacterial small subunit ribosomal RNA", at positions 28 to 523 of the family's 1533-position model. The record is from RNAcentral.